UUAUCAUGACUGUAAACAGGAGG
Molecule: microRNA, 23 nt
Filed under: Strongylocentrotus purpuratus (purple sea urchin)
Lineage: Eukaryota; Metazoa; Echinodermata; Echinoidea; Camarodonta; Strongylocentrotidae
Description: spu-miR-4850
Source: miRBase by way of RNAcentral